RNAcentral lists this ribosomal RNA (253 nucleotides) under uncultured bacterium. RNAcentral's name for it is "partial 16S ribosomal RNA". It matches the Rfam family "Bacterial small subunit ribosomal RNA", at positions 524 to 776 of the family's 1533-position model. The record is from RNAcentral.
UACGUAGGGUGCAAGCGUUGUCCGGAAUUAUUGGGCGUAAAGAGCUCGUAGGCGGUUUGUCGCGUCGAAUGUGAAAACCCGGGGCUCAACUCCGGGCCUGCAUUCGAUACGGGCAGACUAGAGUUCGGUAGGGGAGACUGGAAUUCCUGGUGUAGCGGUGAAAUGCGCAGAUAUCAGGAGGAACACCGGUGGCGAAGGCGGGUCUCUGGGCCGAUACUGACGCUGAGGAGCGAAAGCGUGGGGAGCGAACCGG